CCUACGGGGGGCUGCAGUGAGGAAUAUUGGUCAAUGGACGAGAGUCUGAACCAGCCAAGUAGCGUGAAGGAUGACUGCCCUAUGGGUUGUAAACUUCUUUUAUAUGGGAAUAAAAUGUUCCACGUGUGGGAUUUUGUAUGUACCAUAUGAAUAAGGAUCGGCUAACUCCGUGCCAGCAGCCGCGGUAAUACGGAGGAUCCGAGCGUUAUCCGGAUUUAUUGGGUUUAAAGGGAGCGUAGGUGGAUUGUUAAGUCAGUUGUGAAAGUUUGCGGCUCAACCGUAAAAUUGCAGUUGAAACUGGCAGUCUUGAGUACAGUAGAGGUGGGCGGAAUUCGUGGUGUAGCGGUGAAAUGCUUAGAUAUCACGAAGAACUCCGAUUGUGAAGGCAGUUCACUGGACUGCAACUGACACUGAGGCUCGAAAGUGUGGGUAUCAAACAGGAUUAGAUACCCUUGUAGUC
Molecule: ribosomal RNA, 460 nt
Filed under: uncultured bacterium
Lineage: Bacteria
Description: partial 16S ribosomal RNA
Rfam family: Bacterial small subunit ribosomal RNA
Source: RNAcentral